AGUGAACGCUGGCGGUAGGCCUAACACACGCAAGUCGAACGGCAGCACAGUAAGAGCUUGCUCUUACGGGUGGCGAGUGGCGGACGGGUGAGGAAUACAUCGGAAUCUACUUUUUCGUGGGGGAUAACGUAGGGAAACUUACGCUAAUACCGCAUACGACCUACGGGUGAAAGCGGGGGAUCUUCGGACCUUGCGCGAUUGAAUGAGCCGAUGUCGGAUUAGCUAGUUGGCGGGGUAAAGGCCCACCAAGGCGACGAUCCGUAGCUGGUCUGAGAGGAUGAUCAGCCACACUGGAACUGAGACACGGUCCAGACUCCUACGGGAGGCAGCAGUGGGGAAUAUUGGACAAUGGGCGCAAGCCUGAUCCAGCCAUACCGCGUGGGUGAAGAAGGCCUUCGGGUUGUAAAGCCCUUUUGUUGGGAAAGAAAAGCAGCAGGUUAAUACCCCGCUGUUCUGACGGUACCCAAAGAAUAAGCACCGGCUAACUUCGUG
Molecule: ribosomal RNA, 492 nt
Filed under: uncultured bacterium
Lineage: Bacteria
Description: partial 16S ribosomal RNA
Rfam family: Bacterial small subunit ribosomal RNA
Source: RNAcentral